AUUGAACGCCGGCGGCAUGCCUUACACAUGCAAGUCGAACGGCAGCGGGGACUUCGGUCCGCCGGCGAGUGGCGAACGGGUGAGUAAUGUAUCGGAACGUACCAUUCAGUGGGGGAUAACUAUCCGAAAGGAUAGCUAAUACCGCAUAUUCUGUGAGCAGGAAAGCAGGGGAUCGCAAGACCUUGCGACGAUGUAGCGGCCUAUAUCAGAGUAGCUAGUUGGGGAGGUAACGGCUCACCAAGGCUACGGUCUGUAGCGGGUGUCAGAGGAUGAACCGCCACACUGGGACUGAGACACGGCCCAGACUACUACGGGAGGCAGCAGUGGGGAAUUUUGGACAAUGGGCGCAAGCCUGAUCCAGCCAUGCCGCGUGAGUGAAGAAGGCCUUCGGGUUGUAAAGCUCUUUCGGCCGGGAAGAAAUCGCAUCAGCUAAUACCUGGUGUGGAUGACGGUACCGGAAUAAGAAGCACCGGCUAACUACGUGCCAGCCGCCGCAGUAA
This 500-nucleotide ribosomal RNA is filed under the name uncultured bacterium. Its description in RNAcentral is "partial 16S ribosomal RNA". It matches the Rfam family "Bacterial small subunit ribosomal RNA", at positions 30 to 523 of the family's 1533-position model. The record is from RNAcentral.